UAAUUCAAUUGUGUGUGCUGGAAUGUUUCUUAAUGUUAUAUCAUUGUAAGUCAUGUUCAUCAGCAAUGGAUGGGCCAAAAUCUUAUUCACAUGCGUGCGAUUUUGUUUUUGGUUGGAUAAAAGAACUUUGGCUUGGGUUAGUUAUAUUUUGUUUUUAAAGAGAGUUUAUAUGUGUUGCAGAGUGUUAUGGAAUGUGUAUUUGGUUCAACAUUUGUUUGCAAAACUAUUGAUGCAGCGAGGGCGUCCAUAGGUUGCUUUUAAUAGAGAAAUUGGCACCCCAAGUGUCACUCUCGAUGGUGAUAUAUUUCAGCCAAGUGGCCUUUUGACUGGUGGAAGUCGCAAGUGUGCAGAAACAUAUGACAUUCUUCCAGAUGGAUUUAAACUGAAAAAGGAAGAUGGUGUUUACUACAUGUCCUAUGCCAUGGGCAGAGGAUGCCUUACAUUUGGGGAGAUGAUGCAAAAGAUUUCCGACCUGAAAGAUGGCUCAACAAUGGUGUUUUCCAACCUGAAUCACCGUUCAAAUUCAUCGCAUUUCAUGUACGUUUAUAGUUUAUUUUUAUUUUUUUUUACAGGAAAGAUUAUACAUGCUUAUAUUUAUUUCUGGCAAAAACAAAAAUGAGAACAUGGAGAUGGAAUGCGUGAUUGAGUUUCCACACAUGCACAUGGAUCGCCGUCCCAGAAGGUCGCGUUUGGGUUGGGACGUUGCUCCUCAGGCCUUAAGGUAUCAAAUCUGUUCUCUAGAUCUCUGAUUUGAUAAUUUUUUUUUUCUUUUUUUAAUUCUAUUUUGUGCUAGAUCUAGUCGAAAUUAGAUACGUGGUAGAUCAGGUAUAAGAAAAGGUUUAUGCUUUUAUGUUUGAUCGAUUUUUAUUGGCUAAUUCGUUGUAGUUUCUUACAGAUCUGUAAAUUUCAUGCUUUUAUGUGUUCUUUGUUGUUAUCUGUGUUGCUGUGGCUUGUGUCAUUGGUAUAGCUGUUUGCUGCUGUCUUCCAUCUAUAAUUGCAAUAUUAUAUGCAGUAGCAGAUCAGGUAAUUUACAGAAGUCUCUUCGGUUUUGUGUUUAUUUCCAUAAAAGACUUGAUAUAUUAUAUUUCUAAUCCUAGAUUUUUCAAUUGCAAAAUAGUUAUCUGAGUUUGGACAGAAACUUCUUACUUUGUUUGCAAUUUGAAUACACCUUAUGUCUUUGGGUGAGUGACAUCAUGGAAUUUAUUGGUACAUUGUCUGUGAGAAAAUGUAACAUUACUGACACAUGACAGAGUGUAGAAAUUUCUUUCUAUGACUAUAGUGGUGGAGCUUGCUCGACAUACUAGUGCACUGACUACCUUGUACUAUGUUCCUAAAGAGGAGAUAUCAUGCUAGGAGCAUUGGAUCAGAACCGAGAUCUGAGUUUGGGAAGGAGCAACAAAGGAAGACAUUGAACGACUGUCCAAAUACAAAUUUCGGAGGGUUGGUGACUUUGAGAAACAAAAUGAGGAGAUUCUAGAAUCUUUUAGAGGAAUAAUUACAGAAUGUGAUACUGAUUCACCAAUUGAACAUAUUCUUUCCCCAGAAAAUGCUGAAUGUUGCAUUUGCCUUUGUCCCUAUGAAGACGGAAGACAGAACUGAACUGCAUGAAUUCCCUUCACGCCAUCAUUUUCACUGCUCCUGCAUAGACAAGUGGUUGUACAUCAAUGCUAUAUGUUCUCUCUGCAAGUUCAAUAUACUGAAGAACGGCAAUCAAAGUCGUAGCGAGGAAGUGUAAAAAAAAAGCUAGUUCUUCAAUGGAUUGAUAAAUUUGGUGUUAAAGAGUCUAGCCAUAAUCAAGAAGCUUCUAGUCCUGAUCCAGCUUCCCCAGCUUCAGCUUCCCCAGCUCCAGCUACACCUGCAACAGCCAUGACUACAGCUACAUCAUUGCUUCAGUUAGACAGUUACAGAUCAGUUAGAUAGUUAACAGAGUAGUUAGGCAGUUACAGAAUAAACUAGAGUUAAUUAGUUUGUUAUGCAUUAG
Camellia sinensis is the source of this 1981-nucleotide non-coding RNA. The record is from RefSeq and is a predicted model, not a curated record. NCBI's taxonomy places the organism in Eukaryota, Viridiplantae, Streptophyta, Magnoliopsida, Ericales, Theaceae.